Molecule: ribosomal RNA, 440 nt
Filed under: uncultured bacterium
Lineage: Bacteria
Description: partial 16S ribosomal RNA
Rfam family: Bacterial small subunit ribosomal RNA
Source: RNAcentral
CCUACGGGGGGCAGCAGUAGGGAAUAUUGCUCAAUGUGGGAAACCCUGAAGCAGCAACGCCGCGUGGAGGAUGAAGGUUUUAGGAUUGUAAACUCCUUUUGGGAGAGAAGAUAAUGACGGUAUCACACGAAUAAGAACCGGCUAACUCCGUACCAGCAGCCGCGGCAAUACGGAGGGUGCAAGCGUUACACGGAAUCACUGGGCGUAAAGAGUGCGCAGGCGGGAUUGUAAGUCAGAUGGGAAAUCCUGGGGCUUAACUACAGACCUGCAUUUGAAACUGUGGGUCUUGAGUGUGGGAGAGGUAGGUGGAAUUCUUAGUGUAGCGGUGAAAUCCGUAGAUAUCAAGAGGAAUACUCAUUGCGAAGGCGACCUACUGGAACAUUACUGACGCUCAUGCACGAAAGCGUGGGGAGCAAACAGGAUUAGAUACCCUAGUAGUC